AUUAAAAGUGAGGUUCGAUCUCUGCCUGCGAUCAGUUUGAUGAAGAAGGAUGAAAAGGUGAGGGCAUUCAAUACCAACUGGUAUCAAAAGUAUAACGUUAGCUGGUUAACAAGGAGCCUUUCAUCAAUCUAGCCUGCUUUUUGGAAAAUCUGAGCCUUGGGUGAAAGAGGGGUAGCUACAGUGACCUGGAGAGCAUUGAUCGUUCAGCAGGAAGCAUAUAAAUUCCCACACCAGAUUCUAGCUUCGGGGGAAAAGCUGCAUCGAAUAUGACGAAGGUCUGCGUAUUCAAACUGCGCGACACAACGAGAAAGUUAGAAGAAACGGAAAUGUUCUCAAGCGGCUUAUCAACACCCCUACGUUUUUGGGCAUGCAAGAAUUUGCUUUUAGAGGACACUAUGAGAGGGAAAGUUCCCGCCGACAAGGGAAACUACAAUGAGCUUGCAGAGCUAAGUUCCCUCCUGUUCCCUGAUUAAGAGGUGAUGACCACUCUACUACCAUUGUCAACUCUGUCCUGACAUGAACUGAAGCCAUGUCUCAUGUGCCCGCUCAUCCACUGCUACAUUGAAUGUUUCCUCUCCAAGCACUUUGAGUACCCCUGUCAAUUUUCUCUCAUUACUCUAUGUAGAGUCAAUCACAAACACAAUCACAUUAUUACACAUGAAUGAUUUUACUCCUUGCUUGGAUUAACUCAUUCUAAGCUCUUUGGUCAAACUGUGUAGUGUGUUAUUGUUUUUUGUCUUUCCAGAGAAAUCCUAUCCUGCAAUGAAGUCAAGCCUCUGAACACCUCAACGCAUGCCUCAUACCCUCAUUCAAUCACUGCUGUGAUCUUACUGUGAUAAACACUGAAGGCCUGACAGAAGACGAAUCACCAGGAUACUCACAGGUUCCUGUGUAACUAAUCGCACAGGGGCGGGGGGAUUGAGAUGGAGAUGCACUACUUCCUCCUUGUGUUUUUGAAGCAGGACCAGGAAACCUUCAGCACUUGGACACCAGAAUGAUAAAAUGCUGAGGCUGAGAGGCAAGCUAUUAAUAGACUCCAGCACCUGAAACUGUCACACUGAUCCUUGUCCCACAGCCCUGUGUCAACAUCAGUAACACAAAAGUACUGUACUGUAUGUGAGACCUGUGAAGUGCUGGUGAAGGUUUUCAUGUAUCGGUUACUGUAUCAUGCAAGUCUUGCUAAUUCUAUUGAUGAUGAUGUAUUAUAUUACAAUAUGUGUCACGUAGGCCUACACAUUGGGGAUCAUGAAUAAAAUGCUAAUUGUAAACAUUUUGAGAACAACUUUUAGCAUGUAGAUCAGCCAGCAGUAAUGUUACUGUAUCUUGAGUGUUCAAAACAUUAAGAACACCUACUCUUUCCAUGACAGAUUAAUCGGGUAAAUCCAGGUGAAAGCUA
Molecule: long non-coding RNA, 1396 nt
Organism: Oncorhynchus tshawytscha (Chinook salmon)
Lineage: Eukaryota; Metazoa; Chordata; Actinopteri; Salmoniformes; Salmonidae
Exons: 3
Source: RefSeq, a predicted model, not a curated record